Molecule: long non-coding RNA, 185 nt
Organism: Nomia melanderi (Alkali bee)
Lineage: Eukaryota; Metazoa; Arthropoda; Insecta; Hymenoptera; Halictidae
Source: RefSeq, a predicted model, not a curated record
GUUUUACGAGCCUAGCCUGCAGACAAGGCUUCGGACCGCUUUCAAAACCGACUAUUCAAUCAUGAUAAACAUGUCAUUCUUCGUCGUUUUGCUUUAGAUUUUCGUUCGAAUAUAUUAUAGGUGCAUUUGGCCUGCGUUUCGCAAAGUUAACAGGUUAAUAGGCUUAAAUAAUUUUCAAAAUAAAC